UAAGAAUAUUCCGCAAUGGACGAAAGUCUGACGGAGCGACGCCGCGUGGAUGAGGAAGGCCGAAAGGUUGUAAAAUCCUUUUGUCGAUGAAGAAUAAGGCGGGGAGGGAAUGCCCUGUUGAUGACGUUAGUCGGCGAAUAAGCCCCGGCUAAUUACGUGCCAGCAGCCGCGGUAACACGUAAGGGGCGAGCGUUGUUCGGAAUUAUUGGGCGUAAAGGGUGCGUAGGCGGUUUUGCAAGCCUGGCGUGAAAUCCUGGGGCUUAACCCCAGAACUGCGUUGGGAACUGCGGGACUAGAGUCAUGGAAGGGGAGUUGGAAUUCCAGGUGUAGGGGUGAAAUCUGUAGAUAUCUGGAAGAACACCGGUGGCGAAGGCGAACUUCUGGCCAAUGACUGACGCUGAGGCACGAAAGUGCGGGGAGCAAAC
This 425-nucleotide ribosomal RNA is filed under the name uncultured bacterium. RNAcentral describes it as "bacterial SSU rRNA". It matches the Rfam family "Bacterial small subunit ribosomal RNA", at positions 356 to 773 of the family's 1533-position model. The record is from RNAcentral.